This 482-nucleotide ribosomal RNA is filed under the name uncultured bacterium. RNAcentral's name for it is "bacterial SSU rRNA". It matches the Rfam family "Bacterial small subunit ribosomal RNA", at positions 277 to 751 of the family's 1533-position model. The record is from RNAcentral.
CGAUCAGUAGUUGGUCUGAGAGGACGACCAGCCACACUGGGACUGAGACACGGCCCAGACUCCUACGGGAGGCAGCAGUGGGGAAUUUUGGACAAUGGGCGCAAGCCUGAUCCAGCAAUGCCGCGUGAGUGAAGAAGGCCUUCGGGUUGUAAAGCUCUUUCAGUUGAGAAGAAAAGAUUGUGACUAAUAAUUGCAAUUCAUGACGGUAUCAACAGAAGAAGCACCGGCUAACUACGUGCCAGCAGCCGCGGUAAUACGUAGGGUGCGAGCGUUAAUCGGAAUUACUGGGCGUAAAGGGUGCGCAGGCGGUUCUGUAAGUCAGAUGUGAAAUCCCCGGGCUUAACCUGGGAACUGCGUUUGAAACUACAGAGCUAGAGUGUGGCAGAGGGGGGUGGAAUUCCAUGUGUAGCAGUGAAAUGCGUAGAGAUAUGGAAGAACAUCGAUGGCGAAGGCAGCCCCCUGGGUCAACACUGACGCUCAUG